Molecule: long non-coding RNA, 21641 nt
Filed under: Nicotiana benthamiana
Lineage: Eukaryota; Viridiplantae; Streptophyta; Magnoliopsida; Solanales; Solanaceae
Description: long non-coding RNA (NBEN_LNC027992)
Source: RNAcentral
UUUAUCUAUUAAACUAGAGGUACAAUAUUUCAUAAUAAAAAGUCUUCUCAUUUCAACUCAUGCUCAACUGCACAGUUACACCAGUAUUUAACUCAAGUGAAUACCUGGAUUAGAGAAAUAUUACAGAAAAGGAAAAGGAUCAGCAGUAGCAAAGAAACAAUAGCAAAUAGCAACAGCAGUAGCAAAUUGAAAACCCAUGGAAAGAUUUUAAAACCAACAGAGAUGAUUCCACAUCCAAUAAACAGAUUAAAAAAUAAUCCAAUGGCAACACCAAUAUCAGAAACCAAAGAAGAACCCAAGAAUUAAAUCCGAAAAUCAGCAGUGCCAAAUGCAAACCACAGAAGCAGUCACAGUAUUCUGAUUUUUAGCAGUAAAUACGGAAUUUUAAGUUCUGAAAUUUUUAUUUUUCUCUAAUAUUGAAAUCCUUUUUUCUCUCUAAUUUAUGUCCCCCCUUAUAUGUGAAAAAUGACUUCUAAUUUAUAACCAAAGCAAGACUCUUUCUCCCCUCCCCUUUAAUUAUUAUUCUUACUUUUACUAUUACCCCACUCCUUUCUUUACUUUCCAGCUUUUUUAUUAUUAAUUCAAAAAGUAGUCAAACAUGGACCUCACAGCCUCCCCCUUUUACUUUAAUAAUUAUGUCUUGUCCCUCACUACCAUUUGUCUUGUCCCCCACCAUGUAUUAAAUAAUUUUUUAAUUUUUAUUCCAAAAAUAUCCCUCUCAAACUAUUAAAGUUACCAUUAUACCCUCAUCCCUUUCAAUAUGCACUAAGAACGUGUCAAUUAUAACCAAUUCAAGCCUAACAAUUGACUAAUUAAACACACGAAACUAAUUUUCAAUCAAUAAAUUAAGAUAACAUGGUCAGAUUCACACCAGAAACUCACUUAACAGAACAAACAAUAGAUUCAAAUCACUUAAACUCAAUCUUCAAUUGAACUUCAAAUUAAAUCUAACAACAUUACAAUCAAGAUAAAGGAUUCAAGUGAAUAAACUAAAUAUUUCUAUUUAAAAACUAAAUAAGAACAAACAAAAUAAAAUAAAUUGAAGAAAUAAUCAUGAAAAGAUAAACAACGAACAAGAAAAGAAUCAAACAUAUAACGAUUUCAAAUUCAAGAAUAUCAAACAAAUUACGGACAUAAACUUAAACCAACUAACCGGAUCGGAACAACGACGAACUCGAAUGAAAACAAAUGUGCCCUGAAACUUUGAAACCAAAUAACUCGAACCUGCCCAGAACUUUUUUUGUAUGUUUUUCCGUUUGGUUUUACGUGAUGAAGCUGGACGACGAACAUGGUGUUCACGUCGUGGAACGAGGCGAAGCUGAAGCAGAAACGGUGAGAGGGGGCUGUUUCAGGUCUUAUGGACGUUAACAGUAGGUGUUUGGCAUGGGUUUGUGACGCCUCUUGACGAUGAGAGGGGGACAGCGACGAGUGACGGUUCUGACUGGUUAUUUGGUCGUGAGGUGAAGGAUGAAUGGUUGUUUGGACGAGGGCUGGAGUGAGGCGGAACAAGGGGCUGGUCGCUUGGUCAGGGGUCUGGUCGGGAAGGGAUAUCUUGGUCGUUUGGGUGAAGGAGGUGGGCGGUUGUAACGACCUAACCCGUCGUUCCGUGUAUUUCUGCCCCGUUUUCCCCUUUUUAUGCUGUUAUAUGUUUCAAUAUAUGUAUUUGGGGAGUUUGGAGUAGUUCAGAUAGAUUUUGGAUAGAAAUGAGACAAUUAGUCUCUUUAAGAGAAAGUUAGUUUAAAAAUGUCAAACGAACAUUGACUUAUGAGUUAGAGGGCUCAUAAUAGAUUUUCGAUGAUUCGACUAGUUUUGGACGGUGAUUUGUGAUUUAGGAGCGAAAUCAGAACUGAAUUUAGAGGUCCGAUGUAGAAUUAGGCUUGAAUUGGCUAAGUUAGAAAUUUGGUAAAGUCCGGUUGAUAGGUGAUAUUUUAAUCUAGGAUUCGGAAUGAAAUUCCGACAGUUGCAUUAGCUCCGUUAGGAGAUAUUUGAUAUGUGUGCAAAUUUUCAGAUCAUUUGGAGGUGUUUAGGUCGGGUUUUAGAGCACAUGCAAGUUUCGGAAGUUUUUGUUUAAUUUAGGCUUGAAUCCGUGGAAAUUGGAUGAUUAUGAUGUAUAUGAUAGCUUUUUUAUGUUAUCAGCAAGUUUGAAUGACGUAAUGGGUCAUAUAUGUGCAUUUGUUUGGGGCCUCGAGGGCAUCGGGGUGAUUUCAAGUGUUCAAACGGACUAGUUUUGGCCUUGGGAGAUAGCAGAUUUUUGUUGUUGGGUGUUGCAGGUUUUUGUUAAUCCCGUUCACAUGAGGAGUAACGCGAACACGUAGAGUAAUUUGAGGGAGCCUAGGAUUUUUCCUUCACGUUCGCGAAGGUAAGGACGUGAUUGCGUAGCUGUGGAACCUUGUUGAUCGCGUUUGCGUGAAGUGGUGACGCAUUCGCGUAGGCCUGGGAGGGGGGCCAUCGCGUUCGCGUUAUGGUUGUCGCAUUCGCAUAUGAGGGCCUGGGAACCAUAUCAAGUAAAGCAUCACGUUCGCGUGGCUAAGGUCGCGAACGCGAUGAAGGAAUAUAUGGGAGACAUCAGGGUUUUAAAUGUUAUUUCAUCUGCAAACCAAACAUAUUUUCUACCAUUGUUCAGCAACCAAGAGAGCUUUUGAGCGAUUUGAAGCGGGUUUUCAGCGGGUGUUGAUUGGAGGUAAGUCCCUUGCUUAAAACAUCAUUAUUAGGAAGAAUCAACCCCAAAUUCCAUGAAAUUGUGAAGAACUAGGGCUUAGUUUUUAGAAAACAGAUUUUAGGGAUCAUAAGGGUCAAACGGACUCUAAUUUUGGUGUACCUUAUAUGUAAGGACUCGUCACAAGACGAGGAAUCCAAAUAUGUAAAUUUUAUAAUUUUUUGAGAAGUGGGAUCGGGGCUCGAGUUUUACCAACUUCGUGAUUUUUAACGUUUUUUGAAUAAUUUCAAUUGGGUUAUGUUUAUUUAGCCUAGAAUAACCUACUCGUUGUGGUUUUGGAUAGAUUCGACGCUCGUGGGAGAAUAUUUGAAGGGAAAAGGCAUUGCUGACCAGGCUACGAGCGGUUAGAUGUGAGUAGUUUGUAUAGAUGUUGGUCUGAGGGUUUGGAACCCCGGAUUAUCACAUCGUGAUGCUAUGUUAGGGCGUGACUCACACCCCAUGGCAGGUGCGGGGUUGUAAAUUAUUGAGGAUUGAAAAAUAGUCCAUCCCCUGAGCUGAAUAAAUUAUUUGCAUCUGAUACGCACAUUAUGUUGUUGAUAAUUGGGCUUAAUGCCAUGUUUGGGGCCUUGUGCCGANNNNNNNNNNNNNNNNNNNNNNNNNNNNNNNNNNNNNNNNNNNNNNNNNNNNNNNNNNNNNNNNNNNNNNNNNNNNNNNNNNNNNNNCUUAACGCCAUGUUUGGGGCCUUGUGCCGAUCUGUAGUACCCGUCUAGGGUGAAUAUAUGUGUGAUAACAUGAUUUCAUAAUCAUUGAUCUCAGUACUGUGUUUAAUCAUCGAAAUGAAAUGCUAAGUCACAUUUUCAGAGAUUUAAUAAUUAAAUUAUAUUUGCCUUAAAAAUCGGAAAAUGGGAAUUUAGAUUGAAUCUGUUUAUGUGACUCAUAUGCAUAAUGUGGACUGAGCAUGGGUCGGGCUGCACGAUCCGCAGCGGAUAUAUAUUGAUAUUGCGUUUGGGCUGAAGGAGCCCCUCCGGAGUCUGUACACACCCCCAGUAAGCGUCGUCGACGUUAAAUGGAUCGGACUGCACGUUCCGCAGCGUAUUCAUGUGCAUUGCAUUGAAUCUUUAUUUGAUAUAUGGUUGUUGUUGUGAUACCGUUAUGAUAUUAGCCUGUGGCUAAGUUAUAGGAUUAUUAGUUGUAGCUUUGCGUUGUCGUCUUUUGUGUAUUUCUAAAUUUCAGUCAUUUUCUAUACUUAUUAUUCAUUGAGUCGGUAGUACUCACCCCUACUCCAUGCACCUUGUGUGCAGAUUCAGGUGCACCAGAGGCUUAGCUGAGCAUUCAUUGUCUCCAGAGAUUUUCAGAGUCGUUGAGGUAGCUGCUUGACGUUCGCAUGACCUGGCUACUCUAAUUCUGGUAGUCUCCAGAGAUAUCUUCGGAGUCGUUGAGGUAGCUGCAUGACGUUCGCAGGACCUGGCUGCUCUUCAUUAUUUUUCCAUUUGAUUAUUAUUAUAUACUUUCUCAGAUUUUGGUUUUAGUAUUCAAAUUCUAUUAUUAUUACUCAGCUUUGUUUAUAGCCUCUAGACUCGUGACCCCAAGAUCAUAUGGGUGUGCUUUUGAAUUUCGUAUUCUACUUAUAUCAUAUUAUUAAUAUUUUUUGAUAAUAAUUUUUUGUUUUUCUCGGUUUGAGACUUAAAUGUUAUGUUGAAAGCGAUUGUUGGUCAGGCUUAUCUAGCCUUAGGGCCGGGUGCCAUCACGACCUGGUUGGGUCUACUAGGCCUCAUGAGUCAUGAGCCGGCUUAGCAGAGUCUUGUUUAUGGGUGUGUCGUGCACCACAUUUUUAAGCAGGAGGCUACAAAACUUUUAGGAAACAUUCCAGUUUUCUUGAAAUUCAUAUCGUGAGGUUUGAUAACGUGAAAAACUAAAAUUAUGUAUUCUAUUCUCUUGCAGAUGGGUAGAACUCGUGCUAAUGGACGUGGAGGACGACCACCAGUACCACCUGCUAGAGGCCGUGGACGCGAUCGUGGUGCUGGAUGAGGCAGACCACCUGGGGCAGCACCUGCAGACCCACCAGCUGUCCAGGUCCUGGAUCAGCCUCCAGUUGUUGAUUCUCCGGCUGCACCUAUUCAUGCAGCGACAGUGCCUAUCGUGAUUCCUGGUCUCCAAGAGGCUUUGGCCCAGAUUUUGUCCAUCUGCGCUGGCCAGGCUCAAGCAGUUUCAGCCACUACAGCAUCGGCUACUUCUCAGACCACGGGUGGUCAUCAAACCCCCGAUGCUCGCACUCCCGAGCAGGUUGUUCAGGGCUUAAAGACACCUGUGUAGCUCCAGUUCAGCUAGUUGCUCCAGUUCAGCCAAGUCCGCCAGUUCAGCCAGUUGCACCGCCUGUUCCAGUUGUGUCGGUCACACUUGUUCCAACUCAUGUGUUCCCUUCCCAGGUAUGACGGAUGAUGAUCAGCGGCGGUUGGAAAGGUUCGGUAGGCUCCAACCUCCGACUUUUAGUGGUGCUGAGGGCAAGGAUUCCCAGGGUUUUCUGGAUAAAUGCCACUGUAUGCUAUGCACGGUGGUAUUCUGGAGUCUAAUAGAGUGGCUUUUACCACUUUUCAGUUCACAUGAGCUGCAUUUACUUGGUGGGAAGAGUUCGAGAGGCGUAGGCCUAUUGGGGCAGCGCCCCUCACUUGCCAGCAGUUCUCUACGGUAUUUUUGGAGAAGUAUGUGCCCCAGUCUCACAUGGAGGAGCCGCGUCGUCAGUUCAAGUGGUUGACUCAAGGGGGAUAUGACAGUGACUCAGUACGAGUUGCGGUUUACACAGCUGGCUAGGCAUGCUAUGUGGAUGAUCCCGAUAGAUAGAGAUAGGCCAGCAGUUCUCCAUAGUAUUUUUGGAGAAGUAUGUUCCACAGUGUCACAGGGAGGAGUUGCGUCGUCAGUUCGAGUGGUUAACUCAGGGUGAUAUGUCAGUGACUCAAUAUGAGUUACGAUUUACUUAGCUGGCUAGGCACGCUACGUGGAUGAUCCCGACAGAUAGAGAGAGGAUCAGGAGGUUUAUAGAUGGCCUUAACUAUCUGAUCCGUAUAUUGAUGACUAGAGAUAGCGCUACAACAGCUACUUUUGAGGAGGUUGUUGAUGCGGCUCGUCUGAUUGAGAUAGAUUGCCGUCGGGAGCGUGUGGAGAGAGAGGCUAAGAGGCCUCGAGGUUCAAGUAAUUUCAGCGGCGCUCCAUCUAGGGGCCAUUUCCAGCAGGAUAGAGUUCGUUCCUUCAGGCCUCCUCAGUCCGGACGCACAGAGUCUAGUGGAACCUCUUCAAGCCGGGGCCAUCAGGGACAUCAGCAGAGUCAGCCUGCAUUGAGUGCUCUUCCAGCUCAGAGCUCUGCUCCUGCUCCUUCAGCUCAGGGUUCGUCUGCAGCGAGGGGUUCUCAUUCAGCAGAGUCAGCCUGCAUUGAGUGCUCUUCCAGCUCAGAGCUCUUCUCCUACUCUUUCAGCUCAGGGUUCGUCCGCAGCGAGGGGUUCUCAUCAGUCCCCUUCUCUAAGUUUAGUUUGUUGCUAUGAUUGUGGUGAGUUGGGUCACAUAAGGAGGCAGUGUCCUCGACCCUGCAGUAGGUAGCCUCAGCAGAGGGAUCAGCCCUCGUCUUCUGCACAGGUUUCUUCAGCUUCCACUCAGACAGNNNNNNNNNNNNNNNNNNNNNNNNNNNNNNNNNNNNNNNNNNNNNNNNNNNNNNNNNNNNNNNNNNNNNNNNNNNNNNNNNNNNNNNNNNNNNNNNNNNNNNNNNNNUGAAGUGGUGACGCGUUCCCAGGGGUGGAGGCCAGGCAGCCAGAGGUCGUCCCAGGGGUGAGGACCGUACUGGGGGUGGCCAGGCCCGUUUCUAUGCACUUCUAGAUCGGAGGGACGUUAUUGCCUUGGAUGCAGUUAUCACAGUAUUAUCUCAGUCUUCCACAGGAAUGCUUUUAUUUUAUUUGAUCCCGGAUCUACCUACUCAUAUGUGUCCUCUUAUUUUACUCAUCAUUUGGGUACGACCCGUGGUUGUCUUGCCUUGCCCGUGCAUGUAUCUAUCCCGGUGGGUGAUACUAUAAUUGUGGAUCAUGUCUAUCAAUCCUCUCUGGUAACUAUUGGGGGUCUAGAGACCCGAGUUGAUUUAUUACUAUUGGGCAUGGUGGAUAUAGAUGUAAUUUUGGAUAUGGAUUGGCUAACUCCGUACCAUGCUAUUCUGGACUGUCAUGUUAAGACAUUUACACUUGCUAUUCCGGGUAUUCUGAGAAUCGAGUGGCGAGGCGUGACUGACUAUGUACCUAGCAGGGUGAUUUCUUUCUUAAAAGUCCAACGGAUGGUUGGCGAGGUGUGUUUAUCAUAUUUGGAUUUCGUGAGAGAUAUGGAAGCUGAGGCUCCUAGACUUGAUUCGGUUCCCGUUGUUAGGGAUUUCCUUGACGUAUUUCUAGCGGACUUGUCAGGCAUGCCGCCAGACACGGAGAUUGACUUUGGUAUUGAUCUGGUGCUGGGCACUCAGCCCAUCUCUAUUCCUCUCUAUCGUAUGGCACCAUCAUAGUUAAAAGAAUUGAAGGAACAGCUUCAGGAACACCUGGAUAAGGGGUUCAUUCACCCGAGUGUGUCACCUUGGGGUGCACCGGUGUUAUUGGUAAAGAAGAAAGAUGGCACAAUGAGAAUGUGCAUUUACUACAGGCAACUAAAUAAGGUGACAGUAAAGAACAAGUACCCAAUACCCCGUAUUGAGGAUAUAUUUGAUCAGCUCCUGGGAGCGAGGGUAUUCUCUAAGAUUGACCUUCGAUCAUGCUAUCACCAGCUGAAGAUUAGGGAGUCAGACAUAAUGAAGACGGCUUUCAGGACAAGAUAUGGGCACUAUGAGUUUCUAGUGAUGUCUUUCGGGCUGACUAAUGCCCCAGCCGCGUUCAUGCACUUGAUAAACAGUGUAUUUCGGCCUUAUCUGGAUUCUUUCGUGAUUGUGUUUAUUGAUGAAAUUCUGGUGUAUUCGUGUAGCCAUGAGGAGCAUGCACAGUAGUUGAGGUUGGUCUUACAGCGAUUGAGAGAGGUGAAGCUUUAUGCAGAAUUCUCUAAGUGUGAAUUCUGGCUUAAUACUGUGACUUUUCUGGGACACGUGGUGUCUAGUGGUAGGUCGACCCAAAGAAUAUUAAGGCGGUGCAGAGUUGGCCCAGACCGUCCUUAACUACUGAGAUUCGGAGUUUCCUUGGUUUGGUGGGUAAUUACCGCAGAUUCGUUCAGGGUUUCUCAUCUAUUGCUUCUCAUUUGACAAAGUUGACUCAGAAGAAUGCUCUUUUUGUGUGGACAGACGAAUUUGAGGAGAGCUUCCAGAAGCUCAAGUCGGUUUUUACCACAGCUCCGGUAUUAGUAUUACCUUCAGCUUCAGGAUCUUACACGGUGCAUUGUGAUGCUUCAAGAGUUGGGAUCGGUUGUGUGUUGAUGCAAGAGGGUAGAGUUAUUGUGUAUUCUUCUCGGCAGCAAAAGCCCCAUGAGAAGAACUAUCCCGUUCAUGACUUAGAGAUAGCCACAAUUGUGCAUGCCUUAAAAAUUUGGAGGCAUUAUCUUUAUGGUGUAUCAUGUGAGGUAUAUACGGACCAUCACAGUCUUCAAAAUUUGUUUAAACAGAAAGAUCUUAAUUUUAGACAGCAGAGAUGGUUGGAGUUACUCAAAGACUAUGACACUACCAUUUUGUAUCAUCCCGGGAAGGCCAAUGUGGUGGCAAAUGCUUUGAGCUGGAAGGCUAUCAGCAUGGGUAGUCUGGCGUACAUUCCAGUUAGAGAGAGGCCCCUUGCAGUUGAUGUUCAGGCCUUGGCCAAUCAGAUGGUGAGAUUAGAUAUUCCGAGCCAAGUCAAGUGUUAGCGAGUGUGAUUUCCCGAUCUUCUUUGUAUGACCGCAUCAGAGAGAGGCAGUAUGAUGACCCGCAUUUGCUUGUCCUGAAGNNNNNNNNNNNNNNNNNNNNNNNNNNNNNNNNNNNNNNNNNNNNNNNNNNNNNNNNNNNNNNNNNNNNNNNNNNNNNNNNNNNNNNNNNNNNNNNNNNNNNNNNNNNNNNNNNNNNNNNNNNNNNNNNNNNNNNNNNNNNNNNNNNNNNNNNNNNNNNNNNNNNNNNNNNNNNNNNAUGACCCGGAUUUGCUUGUCCUGAAGGACAGGGUCCAGCAUGAUGAUGCCAGAGAUGUGACCAUUGGAGAUGAUGGCGUAUUGCGGAUGUAGGGCCGGAUUUGCGUGCCCAAUGUAGAUGGUCUCCGGGAGUUGAUUUUAGAGGAGGCUCACAGCUCGCGGUAUUCAAUUCAUCCGGGUGCCGCGAAGAUGUACCAGGAUUUGAGACAGCAUUACUGGUGGAGGAGAAUGNNNNNNNNNNNNNNNNNNNNNNNNNNNNNNNNNNNNNNNNNNNNNNNNNNNNNNNNNNNNNNNNNNNNNNNNNNNNNNNNNNNNNNNNNUUGAGACAGCAUUACUGGUGGAGGAGAAUGAAAAAGGAUAUUGUGAAUUAUGUGGCUCGGUGUCUCAACUGUCAGCAAGUCAAAUACGAGCACCAGAAACCCGGUGGUGUAUUGCAGCAGAUGGAUAUUCCGGAGUGGAAAUGGGAAAACAUUACUAUGGAUUUUAUGAGUGGUCUUCCUCAUACCUCGAAGAAGUUUUAUUCGGUUUGGGUGAUUGUGGAAAGGCUGACUAAGUCUGCGCACUUUAUUCCAGUAUGUACUACCUAUUCAGCGGAGAAAUUAGCAGAGAUUUUCAUCCGGGAGAUUGUACGGUUGCAUGGGAUCCCAGUUUCCAUUCUAUCAGAUAGGGGUACCAUGUUUACUUCCCAGUUCUGGAGGACUUUCAUCGGGAGUUGGGAACACAGGUACAGUUGAGCACAGCAUUUCACCCACAGACGGACGGACAGUCCGAGCGCACGAUUCAGAUAUUAGAGGACAUGUUAUGUGCCUGUGCUAUUGACUUUGGAGGUUCUUGGGCUGAAUUCUUGCUACUUGCGGAGUUUGCGUAUAAUAACAGCUAUCAAUCCUACCUUCAGAUGGCACCAUAUGAGGCCUUAUAUGGGAGACGGUGUAGAUAUCUGGUUGGUUGGUUGGAGCCCGGCAAGGCUAGACUAUUGGGGACAGAAUUAGUUCAGGAUGCCUUAGAGAAGGUGAAAGUAAUCCAGGAGAGACUUCGUACUACUUAGUUGCGUCAGAAGAGUUAUGCGGACUGGAACAAUCGAGAUGUAUCUUAUGCCAUGGGCGAAAAGGCCUUGCUGAAGGUUUCGCCUAUGAAAGGCGUUAUGAGGUUUGGAAAGAAAGGGAAGCUGAGUCCAAGGUUUACUGAGCCUUUUGAAAUACGUAGGAGAAUCGGGGAGGUGGCAUAUAUGCUAGCCUUGCCACCUAACUUAUUGGGAGUUCACCCGGUGUUUCAUGUUUCUAUGCUCUGGAAGUAUGUAGGGGACCCGUCCCAUGUGUUAGACUUCAGUACGAUCCAGUAAGAUGAAGAUUUGACCUAUGAUGUGGAGCCGGUGGCUAUUUUGGGUCAUCAGGUUCGAAAGUUGAGAUCAAACGACAUAGCUUCGUGAAGGUGUAGUGGAGAGGUCGGCCUGUGGAGGAAGCCACAUGAUAAACCGAGCAGGAGAUGCGGAGAAAAUAUCCUCACUUGUUUGAUACUCCAGGUAUGUUUCUUAACCUGCUCGAGGAUGAGCGUUUGUUUAAGUUGGAGAGGAUGUAACGACCUGACCCGUCGUCCCGUGUAUUUCCGCCCCAUUUUCCCCUUUUAUGCUUUUAUAUGUUUCAAUAUAUGUAUCUGGGGAGUUUGGAGUAAUUCGGAUGGGGUUUGGAUAGAAAUGAAAAAAUUAGUCUCUUUAGAGAAAGUUAGUUUGGAAAAGUCAACCGAACAUUGACUUAUGAGUUAGAGGGCUCGGAAUGGAUUUCCGAUGAUUCGACUAGUUUUGGACGGUGAUUUGUGACUUAGGAGCGAUAUCAAAAUUGAAUUUGGAGGUCUAGUGUAGAAUUAGGCUUGAAUUGGCUAAGUUAGAAAUGUAGCGAAGUCCGAUUGAGAGGUGAUAUUUUUAUCCGGGAGUUGGAAUGAAAAUCCGACAGUUGCAGUAGCUCCGUUAGGCAAUUUUUGAUAUGUGUGCAAAUUUUCAGAUCAUUCGAAGGUGUUUAGGUUGGAUUUUGGAGAAAAUGCAAGUUUCGGAAGUUUUAGUUUACUUUAGGCUUGAAUCUGUGGAAAUUGGAUGAUUCUGAUAUUUGUGAUAGAGUUUUUAUGUUACGAGCAAGUUUGAAUGAAGUAAUGGGUCAUAUCUGUGCAUUUGGUUGGGGACCCAAGGGCUUCGGGGUGAUUUCGAGUGUUCAAACGGACUAGUUUUGGCCUUGGGAGAUAGCAGUGUUUGCUGUUGGGUGUUGCAGGUUUUUGUCCAUCGCGUUCGCGUGAGGAGUAACGCGAAUGCAUAGAGUAAUUUGAGGGAGCCUGUGAUUUUUCCUUCACGUUCGCGAAGGUGAGGCACGCGGUCGUGUAGCUGUGGAACCUUGUUGAUCGAGUUCGCGUGAAGUGGUGACGCGUUCCCGUAGGCCAAGGAGGAGGGCCAUCGCGUUCGCGUUGUGGCUGUCGCGUUUACGUAUGAGGGCCUGAGAGCCAGAUCAUGUAAUGCAUCGCGUUCGCGUGGUUAAGGUCGUGAACGAGAUGAAGGAAUUUCUGGGCGACAGAAGGGUUUUUAAUGUUAUUUCAUCCGCGAACCAAACAUAUUUUCCACCAUUGUUAAUAAAACAAGAGAGCUUUUUGAGCAAUAUAAAGCGGAUUUUCAGCGGGUGUCAAUUAGAGGAAAGUCCCUUGGCUUAAAAACAUCAUUUUAUGGAAGAAUCAACCCCAAAUUCCAUGAAACUGUGUAGAAAUUGUGAAGAACUAGGGCUUAGUUUUUAGAAACGAGUUUUAGGGAUUUGAAGGAUCAAACGGACUCCGUUUUUGGUGAACCUUAUAUGUAAGGACUCAUCGCGAGACGGGGAAUCCAAAGAUGUAAAUUUCAGAAUUUUUAGAGAAGUGGUCUCGGGGCUCGGGUUUUACCAACUUCGUGAUUUUUAACGUUUUUCGAAUAAUUUCAAUUGGGUUAUGUUUAUUUAGCCUAGAAUAACCUAUUCGUUGUGGUUUGGAUAGAUUCGACACUCGUGGGAGAAGAUUUGAAGGGAAAAGGCAUUGCAGAACAGGCUAUGAACGGUUAGAAGUGAGUAGUUUAUAUAGAUGAUGGCCUGAGGGUUUGAAACCCCGGCUUAUCACAUUGUGACGCUAUGUUAGGGCGUGACUCUCACCCCAUGGUAGGUGCAUGGUUGUAAAUGAUUGGGGAUUGUGACAUAGUCCAUCCGUGAGCUAAAAAAACUAUUGGCGUCUGAUACGCACAUUGUGUUGUUGAUAAUUGGCUUAAUUCCAUGUUUUGGGCCUUGUGCCGAUUUGCAGUACCCGUCUAGGGUGAAUAUUAGUGUGAUAACAUGAUUUCAUAAUCAUUUAUCUCAGUCAUGUGUUUAAUCAUCGAAAUGAAAUGCUAAGUCAAUUUUUCUGAGAUUUAAUAAUUAAAUUACAUUGCCUUAAAAAUCGGAAAAAUGGGAAUUUAGAUUGAAUCUGUUUAUGUGACUCAUAUGCAUAUUGUGGACUGAGCAUGGGUCGGGAUGCACGAUCCGCAACGAAUAUAUAUUGAUAUUGCGCUUGGGAUGAAGGAGCCCCUCCGGAGUCUGUACACACCCCCAGUGAGCGUCGUCGACGUUAAAUGGAUCGGGCAGCAUGCUGCAGCUAUUCAUGUGCAUUGCAUUGCAUCUUUAUCUGAUACUUGACUGUUAUAAUUGAAGCAUAUUCCGCAGCGUAUUCAUGUGCAUUGCAUUGUAUAUUUAUCUGAUAUAUGGUCGUUGUAGUGAUACUGUUAUGCUGUUAGCAUGUAGCUAAGUUAUAGGAUUGUUAGUUGUAGCUUUGCAUUAUUGUCUUUUAUGGAUUUCUUACUUUCAGUCAUUUUCUAUACUUAUUAUUCACUGAGUCGGUAGUACUCACCCCUACUCCCUGCACCUUGUGUGCAGAUUCAUGUACACCAAAGGCUUAGCUGAUUCUCGUAGUCUCCAGAUAUAUUUUCAGAGUUGUUGAGGUAGAUGCAUGACGUUCGCAGGACCUGGCUUCUCUUCAUUAUUUCUCCAUUUGAUUAUUAUUAUAUACUUUCCUAGAUUUUGGUUUUAGUAUUUAGAUUCUAUUAUUAUUACUAGUUAGAGGUUCUAGACUCGUGACCCCCAGAUCAUAUGGGUGUGCUUUUGAAUUUCGUAUUCUACUUAUAUCAUAUUAUUAAUAUUUUUGGAUUAUUAUUUUGUUAAUUUUCUCGGUUUGAGACUUAAAUGUUACGUUGAAAGCGAUUGUUGGUCAGGCUUACCUAGCCUUAGGGUGGGGUUCCAUCACGACCGGGUUGGGUCGUGACAGCGGUGGUUCGUUGGUGUUUGACGAGUGACGAAGGAGCAGAAACGGAUGAAGGUCAUGGGUCAUUGGUAGUCGAUUGGUAGACUGCCUGGGGGACGAUGAUGGAGGGGCAGGGGUUUAGCCUGGGUGUUCAUGAUGACAUGGGUGGCUAUGGUGGUUUAGGGUUUGAGGGUGUGUUUUGAGAAGAUGACGAAGAAGGGGCUGGGGUUUUUUUUUUCUUGUCCUAGCUCAAAAAAUGAGAGACAAAUCUGAUGGGUUUGGUCAUUUUGGGGGGUGUUGGACCGGGUCGGGAUAUGGGUCAUGGGGUGUGGUAUUGGUAUUGUUUUUGGGUUGGAUAGAAGUGUUUUGGGUCUAAUUGUAAUACCGAAAAUUGGCCCAGUCCGAGUUUGUUUUUCUUAUUUCUUGAUCUCUUUUCUUUUAAUUAAUAAAACUAAAAUUCUAAAUUAUGUUAUAAGUUAAUUUAACUCAAAAAUACUAAUUAACUUCUAACAACAAUGAUCAUACACAAUUAAACACCAAUAAAAAUAAAAUUGCACAAUUUGACAUCAAAUGCUAAAGAUGCCUAUUAUGUGAUUCUUUUUUUUGGUAAAAUAAACUUAAUUACUCCUAAUUGUAGAAUUAAAUUAUAAAUGCAAACGCGACCUAUUUUUAUAUUUUUUUAGUAAUUUAGCAAAUAAACAUGCACAUAUAAAUGCAAAUAAUACAAGGAAAAUAACAGAAAAUUUACAACAAUUGCAAACAAAAUAAAAAUUAUUUUAUUUUAUAUUUUCUCGGAGUACUUCAUAUAUAGGGCAAAAAUCACAUGCUCACAGCUGCCCCUCUUUGUCCGAAAGCACGAAGGCGUUUUGUGCAAAGAUAAAGUGAGUGGAUACGAACGAUUUUUGCCCGUUGGAGUACUCCAUGUGAAGCAUUUUUUGAAAGUUUUGACCGAACCUUUGCUUCGAAGGUUUCCUACAUAUCCCUGGCUAAAAGGGAAUCAGGUCAAUGUAGUUCGGAAAGUUUUGGUAGCUGGGACUACAAGGGGACUAUAAUUCUGUUGUUACUGCUGCUGUACGAUGUUACUACUGCUUACUAAUCUCCUUAUUACACCGUGUCAAAGAUAAAAACAAGAAGCUAGGCUAGCCUACGGAUCACAAGAUCCUAUCUAUCUUCAAUUUGUUUUUGGCUGGCCUUGCUUUCUUGUCGGCAUGCGUUUCUUGCAGUGCUUUCUUCCGAGAGUUUGUGGAUGACACUGACCUUUUGCUUGUCUGAACACUAGUUUUCAUAGGCCUUGCUUUCUUGUCAGCUUGUGUUUCUUCCGGUGCUUCUUUCUUCCGAGAGCUUGGGAUGACACUGACCUUUUGCCUGUCUGAACACUAGUUUUCAUUGAUCUUUUCUUGGUCUGCUGGGGAUAUGGCUUCCCUCAUUACGCUUCUUGGAAAUUCCACUGCGGAGACGGCUUUCUUUCAUCAGCAUUUGUUAUGCUGGGGCUUUUGUUGUAACCUUCUGCCUUCCGGGGGGUUACCGAUUUCAAAUCAUAAUUGCAAAGCUAUAUGACUGGAGUUAUAUGCGAUGUGGUUAUAUGAGAUGUAGAUUCAAAGUGACACGUAGUCACAUGAGAUGCAGAUGCAAGAUGGCGCAUAGUUCAAAGCUAUAUGACUGGAGUUAUAUGUGAUGCAGUUAUAUGAGACGUAGUCACAUGAGAUGCAGAUGUAAUAUGGCGUGUCGUCAUAUGAUAUGUAGAUGCAAAGUGACACGUAGUCACAUGAGAUGUGGUUGCUAAGUGACGCGUAGUCACAUGAGAUGUAGAUGCAAAAUGACACGUAGUCAUAUGAGAUGUUGAUGCAAAGUGACACGUAAACACAUGAGAUGUAGGAUGCAAAGCUAUAUGACACGUAGUCAUAUGAGAUGAAGUCAUAACUUGAAUUCGGUUUCCCCUUUUUUCGAGGAAAUUUUUGACAAAGGCAGAAAAUUUUCUACCCCAGUUCUGGCGUUCUCAUAGUCACAUGAGAUGUAGAUACAAAGUGACACAUAGUCACAUGAAAUGUAGGAUGCAAAGCUAUUGUGACACGUAGUCACAUGAGAUGUAGGAUGCAAAGCUUUAUGACACGUAGUCAUAUGAGAUGGAGUCAUAACCUGAAUACGGUUUCCCCCUUUUCCGAGGAAAUUUUCGACAAAGGCAGAAAGUUUUCUGCCCCAGUUCUGGCACUCUCCCUUGUGGUAUGCCCUUCUGCAAUUAUCAGCAUUUCUUAUUCUGCUUCAAAUCAAAGAAAACUUUAUUAGUUCAAAACAUGGUGAGCGGUUGUGCCACUCCUACUGGGAUUCUCUUGGGAUUUGGUCCAUGUUUUCCCAACUUUUGCCUUUCCAGCUUUUUCCAUACUUCUCCUGAUAUUCUGGACCCAUCCGGUGUGAGUGAAUUGGUUACUUUGGUAAACCAAACCUAACCAACUCUACACCAAUUCAAACAAGGACGUUCUAUUCAAGAGGGUCUUGCAACAACGCUUUUUCUUUUUGUUGCCUUGUCUUCCGCUUGCCUUGUUCGUAUUUUGCCUUGUACCAUUUGGCAACUGGCAGCAAGCCCUGACAAACCUUUCUCAAAAAUAAACUGCUAGGGGGAAAGUCAAGAAAAGGGAGAAAAUCUUUUUGAACGAACGCUGGGAAAAGAAAAAACUUAUAUGGGUGGUGUACUAGCCCCGAUGAUCAUGUCAUAUAUUCUAGAAUAAUCAACCCAGUCUAUUGGUAUUAAUCAAUUUUGGAUGGCUUCAUCUGCUGGGGAUAAACAAGUGCCCAACUUUUUCCGAAAUGUGGAUCCUUUCCGCCAACCUUAUCUUGUCGCCUCAUAGUGCCCUUCGAGGGGUUUUCACUAAUAAGACUCUCUCAUUUCUAUUGGCUCUCGUCGCCUCAUGGAGCCUGUGAAGGUUUUCACCGCAAGACUCUCUCAUUUUGUUUUCUCUCAGCUUUUGUCGCCUUAUGGUACCUGUGAAUGUUUUCACCGAUAAGACUCUCUCAUUUUAUUUUCUCAGUUGGAAUGAGAGCGUUACCAAUAAGAUUCUUUCUACUAGGGAAUUCUUUGGCUAUCAACUCUACUGGGGAUUCCUUUGGCUAGCAAUUCUGCUAGGGAUUCCUGCUAGCAAUUCUGCUGAUAAUUCUUGCUAGCAGUUCCCUCAGCUCAUGAUCUUCCUUCGUCCGGGAUCAGUGUAUCAUUCCUGGCUUCUAUUUUCCCGACUCGGCACCUUUCGGAUACUGAUCGGGAGGUCUUUUUUGGUUAUAACAUGUGGGUUUUGUGGGCUUGAAAGAAAAAUGGGUAUCAAAAAUUCGAAGUGACUUUGAUGGGUGAGAGACAACAACCCUUGGAAUCAAAAAUUUUCUAACAACCUAACUUCUGCCCCAGUUAAAGGGUAUCAAAAAUUUGAAGUGACUUCGAUGGGUGAGAGACUACAACUCUUGGAAUCAAACAUUUUCUAACAACCUAACUUUUGCCCCAGUUUUUUGGUUGGGGAUUUUUGGAUUUUUUGCGACAUUUUGUCACACUAUGACCGAGCCGUGAGGCGCCUACGUAUCCUUUCUUGAGGAAUCAGGUCAAACAUAGUUCCCAAAUAUUUGUUUUCUUAUGAUUUUCUUAUCAUUUUUCUCUUCUUUUUUUUCUUUUUUUUAACGAUUCCAAAAUAGGGGUAUGAAAGAACGAAUACGGCUCAAAGGGGGAAACAAAGGUUGACAAUGUUUAGGUAGAAGAAAGAAUUGCCUCCGUCAUUUCGUUAUCCGAUGAACACCAAGUACAAACGUUAACAGUGUUUCGGUAGAAGAAAGAAUUGCCUCCGUCAUUUCGUUAUCUGAUGAAUACCAAGUACAAAAAAACAAAAUAAUGAUAACACAAUUAAGGAAUUCACACAUAGUAUCUCUUGAUUGCGUCAGAAUUGAUAGCCAUGUCAAUGCAUCUUCCUUCGACAUCCAUCAAGCAUAAAGUGCCAUUGGAUAACACUUUCGUCACAACAAAUGGUCCUUGCCAGUUUGGGGCAAACUUGCCCUUUUGCCUCGACCUGAUGAGGGAGGAUCUGUUUCAAUACGUGCUGCCCUACUUCAAAUAUCCUGAUGUAGGAGAAUCCGUUUCAAUAUGGAUGCUGAUUUUGGUUUCCCUUACAUUAUCGGCCUUCCCCUAAUUUCCAGCUUCAGUGUCAUUUAAGUUGAGCUUGGAUUUUUCUUCGUACUGCUUAGUUCCCUGUUUACCUCUUUAAAGACUUCAUCCUCAUCAUAUUUCGAUUCACUAUCACAGUCGAUCUCUUAUAUAAUUAGCUCGGAAUUAGAUUGAUCAUUUAGAGUGGGCCGAAGUUUCGUCUUACAUGCCAUAUCAUCAAUACUAGUAAAAAGAGUAUUGUUCAGAAAGCGAAAGAAGACUGGGCCAAAGAUCCAUCAUGCAUGCCAUAUCAUCAGAACCAGUAAAAAGAGUAUUUUUCAGAAAGCGAAAGAAGAAGAAACAAAAUUAAACAAAACAAGAAAAACUUUUACUUUAAUAAAAUAAGGGAUAACAAGGUUCACACUUUUGCUAAAAGUAAAACAAAAUUUGGAUCACACCCUAGAAUAAUCCGGAAAACAAGAAGGAAAAUCAGAGCCCACUACCAAGACUCCCUCCAACUGGCCCAGACAUGAAACAUUUUUCCAAUUAACAAGCACGGCAAUUUUAGCCAUUAAGCUUCGCAUCCAUAUUGCCGGACGAUUAUUUGCUUCAAGAUCUUCAGAUUUAGUCAGUAUAUUCUCGUACCCCAUGUCACCGGGCAUCAUCCCCACAAAGUGUGCAUCAUCAAGUUUAUGUAAAGGAUUCAGUGUAAUAUUCUGGGUGUCAGUGUCUUGAAUCAAAUUUCCUGGAUCUUAUGCCUCCAGUUACCACAAACCGAUCACUCCAGCUUUCUCAACAUUCAAAACACGACAUGUUAGAAUGGACUUAUUAACAGCAUCUUUUGCCUUCUUUUUUUUCAUUUUUUCUUUUUUUCAAUUUUUUUUCAUUUUAUUUUUUUAUUUUUUGUGGUCGAAUCUUAUGGAGAUUGCCUACGUAUCAUGACCCCGCAUGAAUCAGACCUUGCGUAGUUCGGACAUGAUUACAACAGUUUAAAAACUGACUAUACUAACAGACUUCGACGAAAAGACGACCUACAUACUUGAAAAUCAAAACAUACGACACCCUAAGCCGAAGAAUUACAAACUCAAACACAAAUGGCAUGCUUCCUUUCCCUGUUUGCCAAUUUCAACCAAAUGGUUAUCUUUGCAAAUGUGGCCCCUUCCCAAUUUCACGUGAAUUUUGAUGUUGUGGAGGAUUUUUUUAUGACACUACAAACUGGUCCAUUCUUUUAUCAAAAUAGCCUUUCGACAACUGAAUGAUACUCUAAGGCUAUCUGGCAAGAAUGGUUUAAUACAUUGCCGAAGCUGGCUCGACUUAUUUUUGACUAAAAAUUUUAAUGGCAAUCACUUGUCCCCUAACUUUUUUUCAAAUUAAAAUAAAAGGCCAAGUUUUGCAAAGACGGCCUUUCAGCACUUGGGGGACAAAGAUUUUAAGGCUGUGUGGGUCAGCUGGCCAAAAUUUAAAAAAACAUGACCCAAAGGUGGCUGUUUAUGCAAAAUCAACCUUCCGGGGCCCCAUUCAAGAACAUUCUACUAUUUUUGAUUAAAAACAGCAUCACCCAUCUUAUUUAUGACGAAAAUAAAAACUUUGAUAUUUUUUGCAAAGGGAAUGUUGAACCCGAUGGGGGUUGCCUACAUAUCUCACACCUUGUGAGAAUCAAACCAGCAUAGUUCGCCCAAGAAACCGAACUAUUUUAAAACAUGACUCUUUUCACUUUUAUUUUUUGUCAUUUAAUAAACAAAUUAAAACUAUAUUUAGAAACAAGACUCUUUUUUUCCUUUUUCUUUUUUCAACAAACAAUAAAACAACCUAUUUUUCUAAACUAGAAAUAAAAGACUUUUUUUUUCAGCAAACAAUUUUCCAAAAAUGAAAGACUUUUUUUUCUCUAUUUUUCCGUUUCUUUUAGUAAAAUAGAAUAUUUAAAAAUAAAAAAUUUUACUUUUUUUUUUCAAAAUUUCGACAGAAUUUCGCCAGUACUUGGACAUAAGAGACUCUCUAUCUCUAUCUCUCUCUCUCUCUCUCUCUCUCUCUCUCUCUCUCUCUCUCUCUCUCUCUAGAUUAAUCCUCUAACUCUCCAAAUGCUAUUUUUCUUUUUCUCAAUUUUCAAAUAUUCCCGAGAUUCAGAAGCCGGUCAACAUGCGGGUCCGAAACAAAUAAAUGCCCAUAACACAAGUAGGAUGCAUCAAGAUGGUCUUUUCUAUUUCUGGUUGCUAUUCCUAGAUGGACCCAACCCCUGUGUUGAGUCCCCUAAGUCAACAAUGCACAUGAUGCAGAUAAGCGUUCCUACUAGGGAUCCGGCAUGAAGUCGAGUUAUCCUAAGUUCAAAACCUGGGUGUUUGUUCUAGACCUGGCUUACCCGAGUGGACAGCUCGAGCCAAAGAGGAGGCGGCAAUCCUUGAAUACAAAAGCUUCGCCAACUUUGCGACUUAUCCAAACCUCGUUCAAAAUUGGAAUUUGACACUAGAUAGAAAAUAAGUCGUACACGGUACACCCUUCUUCACAAUUCAGAAGGCUCAGAGAGGAAAUGGAUUACGACACAGUUUAUAUACAGUUCACGUAAUAUCAAAACGGUAAAAACAAUCAAUUAGCACAUUAAGCACAUAUCAUGUAACAGAAUCAGAUAAAGCCAAACACAACAAGUGUUCUAAGCUCGAAUUCUGAACCUUGAACAAAACGUUCUGGGUUCUCUUCCCAGCAUAAUCGCUAGAGCUGUCACACCUCCUUUUUCACAUGGGGGGUGAAGAGGAGUUUUUUCCAAUUAAAGGACAAUCGGAAUGGAAUUUAUUUAAAAGAUUCAGAGUCGCCACUUGGGAGAUUUAUGGUGUCCCAAGUCACCGGUUGGAUCCCGAACCGAGAAGGUGUUAGGCAUUACUGGGAGAAAGUGUUAGGUAUUCCCGAGUUCCGUGGUUCUAGCAUGGUCGCUCAACUGUUGCAUUUAGCUUUUAUCCUAUUUUAUUACAUGAAGAACCUAUGUGCCAAUUUUACUUUUUACCGCUUUUAUUUAAUAUAUAUUUAUUUGAAAAAAUGAACGUCGUUUAAAGUGUGAUUUCGGAUUGUGCUGCCGAAGCCCGCAAUCCUAGGAAAACUCUAUCCGAUGUUUCAGAAUUUGGAUUUGGGGCGCAUAAAAUGCCCACCCUAGUUAAGGGAAGAUAACGCUAUUAAGUACGCAUCUAAAGAUGCUAACGCGUUAUUAUUUUUUAGAAGACCGUGAAAUUUGCUAAACGGCCCAUUCCGGAGUCUAAGAAUUUUAAUAUACACACUUAUUGAGGGCCCCGCAACUUAUAAGUUUUUAUUUUGGCGAGGCACGCCUCCUUUAUUUUAAGGAUAUCCUAAACUGACUAUAUUUCUAUUAAACUUGUCUCUAAAAUAAAAGCGAGAAAAAUCCCAAUUAAUUACAUGCUUUAAAAUAUAUAAAAAAACGUAACACACUAAUUGCCAGAUUAAGGCAUAUAUUAAUGGAAAAGAAUUUUACUAAAAAAAUAUUUCAAAAAUAUAAAUAAACAAAAAAAAAUUCAAAAUAAUAAAUAAAAUACGAAAAUCGACAACUAAUAUUCAAAAGAAAUCAAUUAUAGAUAGAUUAAAUCCCGCACUGUUAUAUGAAUAAACCAUUAAUUAUUUACAACUAUUUAAAAUUAAAAUCAACCUUAAUUAUUAAUGUUUAUUCGAAAGUUUAUUAAAUCUAAACGUUAAACCAUCUUGCUUGAACUCAAAUCAUGCCUAUUAAAUUAACAUUAUCCCUUGCUACAUCUUGAUCCUACAAAAUUAAUAACCAACUAUAUUUCUCUAAUACUUGCGGAUCUUUGUUACUAACAAGAUUCAAAAAUCACCAAAUUCAAAUUACUUCUAUUCCAAUAUUCGCAAGUUCAGAGCUAGAUCUUACCAACCAAAUAAGUUAAAUCGAUUCUCCAUAUUCGCUAUUUACCAAUUUGAAUUGAAGGUGAUUCCAUAUUACCUUAUAUAUGUAAAAGACGACUAAGGAUGAAAUCUAGUUAUCGAUCUACUAACGACAUGUUCAUUCCUACAAAUCACAUAACUAUAUUAAAUAUAUAAUUAAACAACUACAAAUUGCAGUUUUAAAACAAAUAAAGCUUCAGUUAAGUACAAACUACCUAAUGCAUUUCUGUUGAAUUAUAAACCAAAAAUUACAGAACUAAUUAUCAUUUUAUCUAUUAAUCUAGAAGUACAAUAUUUCAUAAUAAAAAGGUCUUCACAUUUCAACUCAUGCUCAACUGCGCAGUUACACCAGUAUUAAACUCAAGUGAAUACCUGGAUAAAAGAAAUAGGACAGGUGUCAACUACACAGUUACACAAGUAUUUAAAUCAAGUGAAUACCUUGAUUAGAGAAGUAGGACAGGAGAAGAAAAGGAUCAGCAGUAACAAAGCAACAAUAGCAAAUAGCAACAGCAGUAGCAAAUUGAACACCCAGUGACAGAUUUUAAAACCAACAGAGAUCAUUCCACAUCCAAUAAACAGAUUCAAAAAUAAUCCAACAGCAACACCAAUAUCAGAAACCCAANN